UAUCGAAGGCGUAGGCAUAGAACCUCUGUUUUGCAGCAAAUUGAGCGGGAGAUUCUGCGGUUUCAAGCUAGGGGGCUUAAUCAACAGAAGGACUCUGUUCUUUGGAAGUGGGAGAAUGACAUUUUCAGGGAGACUUUCAGUUCUUCUCAAACUUGGAAAUUAACCAGGACGCAAGGCUCCAUUGUCUCUUGGUGCAAGGGCGUCUGGUUUAAAGAAGCUACUCCAAAGUUCUCUUUCCUCUCCUGGUUAGCAGCUCACAACAGACUAUCGACGGGGGAUAGGAUUCUCAGGUGGAAUCACCAAGCAGUCUCCAAUUGCUGGUUGUGCAACUCUGUCAUGGAGACAAGAGACCAUUUAUUUUUUGAGUGUCCUUUUGCGGGUGAAGUAUGGCGAGGCACGAUAAGAAAUCUUGCGGGUAAUGGAAUUUCGGUUUACUGGAAUCAGUUGAUGCAAAGCUUGGUGCGGGGGCUUCAGGACAGAACCUCAACCUUUCUCUUUCGCUACUGUUUCCAAGCAACCGCCUAUGCAAUUUGGCGUGAGAGAAACUCUCGUCGGGUGGGAGAAGCUCCGCAAUCUUCAGCUCGCCUCAUCUCUCUCUUGGAUAAACUUAUUCGAAAUAGGAUUUCUUCUUUAAGAAAGACUGUUGGUAAUAGACAUGAGAAGGCCAUGGAGAUAUGGUUUGGAAGUAGAUGAUCCUAGCAUCAUAAAAAAUUUUGAAUAGGUUUUGAUUUGAAUAGGUUUCUAUUUUGUACAAAG
RNAcentral lists this long non-coding RNA (756 nucleotides) under Brassica napus (rape). RNAcentral describes it as "long non-coding RNA (BNAP_LNC009876)". Lineage: Eukaryota; Viridiplantae; Streptophyta; Magnoliopsida; Brassicales; Brassicaceae. The record is from RNAcentral.